Gossypium raimondii (Peruvian cotton) is the source of this 107-nucleotide small nucleolar RNA. It matches the Rfam family "Plant small nucleolar RNA R71". From Rfam's summary of the family: R71 is a member of the C/D box family of snoRNAs containing the C (UGAUGA) and D (CUGA) box motifs. Multiple nearly identical copies of this snoRNA have been identified in Arabidopsis, and it is thought to function as a 2'-O-ribose methylation guide for 18S ribosomal RNA. The record is from Rfam. NCBI's taxonomy places the organism in Eukaryota, Viridiplantae, Streptophyta, Magnoliopsida, Malvales, Malvaceae.
AUGCCAUGAUCAAGGAACUUUCGUAAUAACUCCUUGAAUCGCUCCCAUGCCUAAUGUAAAGAUUCUUCGUCAAGUUGCUAAAAUGAAGUGAUUUCAUUUCAGAACUU